GAGCUUUUAGCUCAGUUGGUGAGAGCAUGGUGCUAAUAAUGCCAAGGUUGUGGGUUCAAUCCCUGUAUGGACCA
Molecule: transfer RNA, 74 nt
Filed under: Lamprotornis superbus
Lineage: Eukaryota; Metazoa; Chordata; Aves; Passeriformes; Sturnidae
Rfam family: tRNA
About the family: Transfer RNA (tRNA) molecules are approximately 80 nucleotides in length. Their secondary structure includes four short double-helical elements and three loops (D, anti-codon, and T loops).
Source: Rfam by way of RNAcentral